UCAAAAGCGUUGAAGAGGAAAAGUACCGCUCCAUAUCCGCACAGAGAGCCUGGCGUCUGGUGUAAGCCGGGACGGAGACAGGGCGCGAAAGAACACCUCCGAGCUGCAGCCUGAAAUGCAAAAAGUAGGGUGUGCCGCAGGCCGUGCGUUACAGCGGCAGCGUUUCAAAGGUGAACGUGUACGGAAAAGUGACCGUAUGCCGUUAUUUCGGCUGCGGUAAUUUAGGUGGCACCGCGGAUCCAAGACAGCGAUUCGUCCUAAUG
RNAcentral lists this non-coding RNA (263 nucleotides) under Subdoligranulum sp. RNAcentral describes it as "T-box sequence". It matches the Rfam family "T-box leader". From Rfam's summary of the family: Uncharged tRNA acts as the effector for transcription antitermination of genes in the T-box leader family. Lineage: Bacteria; Bacillati; Bacillota; Clostridia; Eubacteriales; Oscillospiraceae. The record is from RNAcentral.